GACGAACCGUGCGAACGUUAUUCGGAAUCACUGGGCUUAAAGCGCGUGUAGGCGGGCCGCCGCGUCGGUUGCUGAAAUCCCCCGGCUCAACCGGGGAACGGGCAGCGAUACGGGCGGCCUGGGGGGGGGUAGGGGGGGCCGGAACUCACGGUGGAGCGGUGAAAUGCGUUGAGAUCGUGAGGAACGCCCGUGGCGAAAGCGGGCCCCUGGACCCUUGCUGACGCUGAGACGCGAAAGCCAGGGGAGCGAACGGG
This 254-nucleotide ribosomal RNA is filed under the name uncultured bacterium. RNAcentral describes it as "partial 16S ribosomal RNA". It matches the Rfam family "Bacterial small subunit ribosomal RNA", at positions 524 to 776 of the family's 1533-position model. The record is from RNAcentral.